This 1356-nucleotide ribosomal RNA is filed under the name metagenome. RNAcentral describes it as "bacterial LSU rRNA". It matches the Rfam family "Bacterial large subunit ribosomal RNA", at positions 1578 to 2925 of the family's 2925-position model. The record is from RNAcentral.
UGGGCAGACGAAGUGAGUGAUACCCUGCUUCCAGGAAAAGCCACUAAGCUUCAGCUAUAGACGACCGUACCGCAAACCGACACUGGUGCGCGAGAUGAGUAUUCUAAGGCGCUUGAGAGAACUGGAGAAGGAACUCGGCAAAUUGACACCGUAACUUCGGAAGAAGGUGUGCCUUUAGUAGGUGAACCAUUGACUUGGGGAGCCCAAUGAGGCCGCAGAGAAUCGGUGGCUGCGACUGUUUACUAAAAACACAGCACUCUGCAAAGACGAAAGUCGACGUAUAGGGUGUGACGCCUGCCCGGUGCUGGAAGAUUAAUUGAUGGGGUGCAAGCUCUUGAUCGAAGUCCCAGUAAACGGCGGCCGUAACUAUAACGGUCCUAAGGUAGCGAAAUUCCUUGUCGGGUAAGUUCCGAUCUGCACGAAUGGCGUAACGAUGGCCACACUGUCUCCUCCAGAGACUCAGCGAAGUUGAAAUGUUUGUGAUGAUGCAAUCUCCCCGCGGAAAGACGGAAAGACCCCAUGAACCUUUACUGUAGCUUUACAUUGGACUUUGAACAGAUCUGUGUAGGAUAGGUGGGAGGCUUUGAAGUACGGUCGCUAGAUCGUAUGGAGCCAACGUUGAAAUACCACCCUGGUGUGUUUGAGGUUCUAACCUUGGCCCGUGAUCCGGGUUGGGGACAGUGUAUGGUGGGCAGUUUGACUGGGGCGGUCUCCUCCCAAAGUGUAACGGAGGAGUUCGAAGGUACGCUAAAUACGGUCGGAAAUCGUGUUGAUAGUGCAUUGGCAUAAGCGUGCUUGACUGCGAGACUGACAAGUCGAGCAGGUACGAAAGUAGGACAAAGUGAUCCGGUGGUUCUGUAUGGAAGGGCCAUCGCUCAACGGAUAAAAGGUACUCUGGGGAUAACAGGCUGAUACCGCCCAAGAGUUCAUAUCGACGGCGGUGUUUGGCACCUCGAUGUCGGCUCAUCUCAUCCUGGGGCUGUAGCCGGUCCCAAGGGUAUGGCUGUUCGCCAUUUAAAGAGGUACGUGAGCUGGGUUUAAAACGUCGUGAGACAGUUUGGUCCCUAUCUUCCGUGGGCGCUGCAAGAUUAAGAGAGCCUGCUCCUAGUACGAGAGGACCGGAGUGGACGCACCGCUGGUGUAUCGGUUGUCAUGCCAAUGGCAUUGCCGAGUAGCUAAGUGCGGAAGAGAUAACCGCUGAAAGCAUCUAAGCGGGAAACUCGUCUCAAGAUGAGUCUUGCCGGGGCCUUGAGCCCCCUGAAGAGUCGUUCGAGACCAGGGCGUUGAUAGGCUGGGUGUGGAAGCGCAGUAAUGCGUUAAGCUAACCAGUACUAAUUGCUCGUGAGGCUUGACCCG